ACUGCUUCUACGACUGGGCGUAGCCUAGAGGAAACGUCAGCUGGAUCUGAAGUCCGGAACACCCCUCGAGAGAGGUGACGUAGUGUGUAAGAAACUCUUCCGCUCCUGGAAAUAAUUAAUACAGAAGGGAACCAGAUUCACUUGAAAAGACCAGGAAGUUUGCAAAACGGGUAGACGAAGCAUCAAACUGACUUUAAUUUGCCCUCAAGAGGAGAAGAAAAGCAUCUAAGGAGUUCGAAGAAAGUGGAAAUGGGACUAAAGAUGAAAGCGAUGAUGGACCAGUCAUUCUACAGAUGAUAGACCCGAGGAUCGAGUCCAACCCCUGCCGACAUUUAUAAUUUUCUCAGGGCAAAGGUCUCUUGAGG
Long non-coding RNA from Macrobrachium nipponense, 365 nucleotides. RefSeq lists it as uncharacterized. The record is from RefSeq and is a predicted model, not a curated record. NCBI's taxonomy places the organism in Eukaryota, Metazoa, Arthropoda, Malacostraca, Decapoda, Palaemonidae. The transcript is spliced from 3 exons.